GCAUAUCAAUAAGCGGAGGAAAAGAAACCAACCGGGAUUGCCUCAGUAACGGCGAGUGAAGCGGCAAGAGCUCAAAUUUGAAAUCUGGCCCCCUCGGGGUCCGAGUUGUAAUUUGCAGAGGAUGCUUCGGGUGCGGUCCCCAUCUAAGUGCCCUGGAACGGGCCGUCAUAGAGGGUGAGAAUCCCGUCUGGGAUGGGCGGCCGCGCCCGUGUGAAGCUCCUUCGACGAGUCGAGUUGUUUGGGAAUGCAGCUCUAAGCGGGUGGUAAAUUUCAUCUAAAGCUAAAUACUGGCCGGAGACCGAUAGCGCACAAGUAGAGUGAUCGAAAGAUGAAAAGCACUUUGAAAAGAGAGUUAAACAGCACGUGAAAUUGUUGAAAGGGAAGCGUUGUCCACCAGACUCGCCCGGGGGGGUUCAGCCGGCACGUGUGCCGGUGUACUCCUCUCCGGGCGGGCCAGCAUCGGUUUGGGCGGCUGGUGAAAGGCCCCGGGAAUGUACCACCCUCCGGGGUGUCUUAUAGCCCGGGGUGCCAUACAGCCAGCCUGGACCGAGGCCCGCGCUUCGGCGAGGAUGCUGGCGUAAUGGUGGUCAACGGCCCGUCUUGAAACACGGACCAAGGAGUCUAACAUCUAUGCGAGUGUUCGGGUGUCAAACCCGUCCGCGCAGUGAAAGCGAACGGAGGUGGGAGCCCCUCGGGGCGCACCAUCGACCGAUCCUGAUGUCUUCGGAUGGAUUUGAGUAAGAGCAUAGCUGUUGGGACCCGAAAGAUGGUGAACUAUGCCUGAAUAGGGCGAAGCCAGAGGAAACUCUGGUGGAGGCUCGCAGCGGUUCUGACGUGCAAAUCGAUCGUCAAAUUUGGGUAUAGGGGCGAAAGACUAAUCGAACCAUCUGGUAGCUGGUUCCUGCCGAA
Molecule: ribosomal RNA, 909 nt
Filed under: Talaromyces amestolkiae
Lineage: Eukaryota; Fungi; Ascomycota; Eurotiomycetes; Eurotiales; Trichocomaceae
Description: LSU rRNA
Rfam family: Eukaryotic large subunit ribosomal RNA
Source: RNAcentral